CAGCAGCCGCGGAAUACGAAGGGUGCAAGCGUUAAUCGGAAUUACUGGGCGUAAAGCGCGCGUAGGUGGUUUGGUAAGAUGGAUGUGAAAUCCCCGGGCUCAACCUGGGAACUGCAUCCAUAACUGCCUGACUAGAGUACGGUAGAGGGUGGUGGAAUUUCCUGUGUAGCGGUGAAAUGCGUAGAUAUAGGAAGGAACACCAGUGGCGAAGGCGACCACCUGGACUGAUACUGACACUGAGGUGCGAAAGCGUGGGGAGCAAACAGGAUUAGAUACCCCGGUAGUCCCUGUCUCUUAUACA
This 301-nucleotide ribosomal RNA is filed under the name uncultured bacterium. Its description in RNAcentral is "partial 16S ribosomal RNA". It matches the Rfam family "Bacterial small subunit ribosomal RNA", at positions 509 to 808 of the family's 1533-position model. The record is from RNAcentral.